AAUAAAACAAAAACAAAAACAAAAACAAACAAAAAAAGAACCACCGGGGAGUAUCUUCUGAUUCUGUGUACUUUAAGUCCCUUGGCUUCUCCUGGAAGUUGUCCGUCUAGCUGGUGUUCUGGGGGAGGGGCCUGUUGUGCUGAUUUUCAGGUGUUAGCAGUUGGGGGAGCUGCUGUGCCCCUGCCUGGUGCAGGGCUCAGUGGGGGUUGUUUACCCCGUGAGGCCGCAGGAGGAACAGCCCCAGUGGCGGGGCAGCUCUGGAAACCUGGAUUCAGCUCCGGCAGGAACUCCGUCUGCAGGGCCUGGAGGCUCCGGGCGGGGCCGCUGAUCUGCUCAGCUGGGGCAGGAGCGUCCUCGCUGUCCUGGGCCCUCCCGGCCUCUGCCUGUCCCGGAGGAGGCCGGAUCCUGGGCUGUGUCCCGGCGCCCUGUGCUCCGGAGCCUGCGCUGGUGGAUUCGCGCUCCCGGGCCGCGCAACCCCCUCCGCGGAGCCGCCGCCCGAGCCCCUCCGAGCUGCUCCUGGAACCGCGCAGGCCCCUCUGCACGGAGCCUCUUCCUCUGCCCGAGCCCGGCCGAGCUGCUCCCGGGGCCGCGCAGCCCCCUCCGCGCAGCCCCCUCCGUGGAGCCACCGCCCGAGCCCCCCGAGCUGCUCCGGGUCCCGCCGUGCGCGCUGCAGCCCUUAGGGAGCUCGGCGCACUCUCCUGGGUGCGCAGUUGCUGUUACUGUCCCCGGGAGCCCGAGGGCAUCCUCGCCCUCCUGGUUCCUGCUCCCACUCCCCGCGAGCCCCUUUCCGCCCGGGAAGGUCGGUGCAGCUCCUGCUCCUCCGGGACGGGGCUCUCCUGUCCUGGGGACACUCGCCCCGGCCUCAGCCUGGCUCCUCGCGGGGCCCCUCCCCCUUGGAGGCCUUUGUUCCUUUAUUUCUUUUUCCCCGUCUUCCUACCUUGAUAGAAGCACGAACUCUUCUCACUGUAGCAUUCCAGCUGGUCUCUCUUUAAAUCUCAGGCCGAAUUCAUAGAUUUUCAGGAUAAUUUGAAGGUUUUCUAGGUAGUUUGGUGGAGACAGGUGAUUUGGGGACCCUCCUCUUC
This 1082-nucleotide long non-coding RNA is filed under the name Canis lupus dingo (dingo). RNAcentral describes it as "lncRNA (ENSCAFG00020019454.1)". The stretch from base 390 to 480 matches the Rfam family "mir-8799 microRNA precursor family". Lineage: Eukaryota; Metazoa; Chordata; Mammalia; Carnivora; Canidae. The record is from RNAcentral.